Molecule: ribosomal RNA, 519 nt
Filed under: Aspergillus carbonarius
Lineage: Eukaryota; Fungi; Ascomycota; Eurotiomycetes; Eurotiales; Aspergillaceae
Description: eukaryotic LSU rRNA
Rfam family: 5.8S ribosomal RNA (bases 172-324)
Source: RNAcentral
UCCUACGGGCCCAACCUCCCACCCGUGUCUAUUGUACCUGUUGCUUCGGCGGGCCGCCGCUUGUCGGCCGCCGGGGGGGCAUCUCUGCCCCUCGGGCCCGUGCCCGCCGGAGACACCAACACGAACACUGUCUGAAUCGUGAAGUCUGAGUCGAUUGUUUUCAAUCAGUUAAACUUUCAACAAUGGAUCUCUUGGUUCCGGCAUCGAUGCAGAACGCAUCGAAUGCGAUAACUAAUGUGAAUUGCAGAAUUCAGUGAAUCAUCGAGUCUUUGAACGCACAUUGCGCCCCCUGGUAUUCCGGGGGGCAUGCCUGUCCGAGCGUCAUUGCUGCCCUCAAGCCCGGCUUGUGUGUUGGGUCGCCGUCCCCCUGUCUGGGGGGACGGGCCGAGGCAGAGAUGCGGCACCGCGUCCGAUCCUCGAGCGUAUGGGGCUUUGUCACAUGCUCUGUAGGAUUGGCCGGCGCCUGCCGACAACUCCAACCUUUUCCAGGUUGACCUCGGAUCAGGUAGGGAUACCCGC